GCAGAGUGAAGGGCCGGGAACAGUGGAGGGUGCGAGGAAGACAAUGGGGGAGGACCCUGAGGCGGCCUCUGUGAGCCGACAGGAACACGUGGUCGAUCAGAGAGAGACUCGAGGUUCGUGAACGGAUGGGGAGGACCCUGAAAAGCACUGUGGAAUACAGGUUUCUAGUAACUUCAAAAUCACAUCAUUUGGACUGGCACGAUGAGCCACUUGAGGCCAGGUACAGCCAUGGCGUGUAUCCCAGAGCACCUGUGAGAAUGUCUCACAGACAGUCCGUCUCUCCUGAAUAUGAAGGGAUGGGCACCAGCCGGAGCCACCAUCCGUGUGACUGGCCCGUGGCCGCCUCCAGCUCACACAGAACCUCUGCACGCAACGGAAAAAGGUCUCCCCUGGGUGAAUGGGGUGGGAAACGUGUGCCCCUCCAGGCGGCUGGUGAGCAGAGUGCUCCCCUCGGCAGGGUGUGACUUGUACAGCUCCACCACGGGCCCUGUAACAAGACAGGCUUCGACCCUGCCCUCUUGCAGCUCGUAUGUAUGAGGGGCAGCCCAAUAAAUAAAUAAGCAAA
Molecule: long non-coding RNA, 565 nt
Filed under: Homo sapiens (human)
Lineage: Eukaryota; Metazoa; Chordata; Mammalia; Primates; Hominidae
Description: non-protein coding lnc-PDGFA-17:20
Source: RNAcentral